Molecule: long non-coding RNA, 1938 nt
Organism: Temnothorax curvispinosus
Lineage: Eukaryota; Metazoa; Arthropoda; Insecta; Hymenoptera; Formicidae
Exons: 3
Source: RefSeq, a predicted model, not a curated record
GGAUGACGAUGACUCAUCGCCGGCACGAGCCCCGAUAAGGAUUACACGAGACGCAUACAUUCGUCGCGUGUAUCCGAGGAUACGCGUCUUCGAACGCUCAUUUUCUCGUCGAGCAUUUACCGCUAAACGAGCUUGUCUCUCGUGUGUUCCUCAUUUCGCGUCAGCGUCGCGGAUGACAUGAGUCGUCGUCUGAAAUGAUGACAUAAAUCGUUGCAGUUUAGCGAACGGUCGGAGUAUCAGUGAUUUUGUCGAACCGUGGAGGAAAAAAUAACAGGCAAACCCGUUUUCUAGUAAAGUGAGUAGUACGACACACGACACAAGGUAUCAGAAUCGUUCGAAAAGAUAUGUGCUUAGUCUACGGUUGCGACACAAAAUGAAGCUGAUAUGACACUCCGUCUGCGAAGAUACGAAGAAGACGGCGUAGCUGUGAUUAACGUCGAUUAACGGCCGAUCGCACCUUAUUGCUGUCAUCUAGAAUCCGACUGCAGCCGUGGUCUGCUGCAAGCUGCAACCCAACUCGUUAUUCGUCGUCUAUUUACAGCCUCGCUUGUAAUACAUACACGCGGAAAAGUAACAUCCAGUUAAGUUAUAAUUAGUGUCGAUGUAACAGUCCUGGGAAAAGUUGUCACUGUGACGUGUGACAUGAAAACGAAAGUAUGAAACAUGAUACUGUUGGAAAAUAUCAAAGAUAGUAAGGAGUAAAUUAUACAUAUACAUACUUCCAAGAUUUAGUUUUCUGAUAUACGUACGAGUGUGCAUAUCGCGAUUAUAUCGCUCGACGUGCAAAAUAUAUCUUAAUGAAUCUGACGAUUUUUCAAGGAAAAACGCACGUUUUGUUCUUUCGCCAACCUAUUAUUUGCCUUAAGAAGAAGUAACUUCACAUAUAGAACUAAAAAUAUCAUUCAAAAUAAAAUAGAUGCAAAAGAAAAUAUGAUGAAAGUACCUGAUUCCCAUAUUAAAAUUAUAAUAUGCACUAGUAAACAUCAAGUACUAGUAAACAUCCCAUAAAAAACGCCCGGAUUUUCUAAGGUUUCCUUCGAUUCAUUUCUCAUUCGGGAAAUAAAAAGCCGAAACAAUCUACGUUUAUAUUUUCUUUUUUUAUCUCAAAUUCUGGACUCAUUGUCAGUCAAGUACAAAACAUAUAUGAGCAAGAAUCGCUUCGUAUAAGUAAUGAUUUCCUCUCUUGUUUUCGAUUCUCCAAGAAUGGAAAUAUAUAUAAUCUUUGCAUUUUCUUCGUCGUGCUUUUGGUCGCGACGAUUAAGAGGAACCUUGUGGCGCCCGACUCUCGCAAAAAACGUAGGCCAGAAUUAACUGGUCAAGGCUGUCCGGUGGAAACGACCUCGGACUCGGACGUCUUCCCGUACGUUGUCGCCGUUAGCGGGUCAAGUUCAAGAUACAUUAGGAACUUAAUAUUCGAGGUACCUGAAAGAUAUGAAAGAAAGAAAGAGAGAGAGAGAGAGAGAGAGAGAGAGAGAGAGAGAGAGAGAAACGAGGGGAAUAAUAACAGAUAUGUUACUUCAUUCUCCUCUCUUAUCUCUAUAUGAAGUCAUUUUAUUGCCUCACGCGCGUAUCUUAACUUUCAUUAACAAUAGAUAAUUAUUUAUCAGAGUUCACAGCUCCCGUUUCUCGAAAGAAAAAUGAAAACUCGAUAAAAAUUUCUACGUCAACAUCUCCAGAACGGUUUUCCGUUCGGUUCGCAGAGAAUGCAGAAAGGUGAACGUAAACCCUUCACUAUCUCUAGGCGACCACCUGCCGACGCGCAGGCCACACCCUCUCGCGGCUAUAGCGGCGAACCGAGAGGAAAUCGCACGCGCGCGCGGCGCGGGGAGGCGCUCGGCGCUCCCCGCCGUCCACCUGUCAGGAAUCGCGUCUGCAAUUCAACGAGUUUUGGAAUACGGAGUACGGAUCGCCCGGUACUCCGAUUACUCCGAGGGAUAA